Long non-coding RNA from Oncorhynchus keta (chum salmon), 463 nucleotides. RefSeq lists it as uncharacterized. The transcript has 4 exons. The record is from RefSeq and is a predicted model, not a curated record. Lineage: Eukaryota; Metazoa; Chordata; Actinopteri; Salmoniformes; Salmonidae.
GUCCAGGUUACAUAGUGACUCACUACCGUAAUGGUCCAGGUUACAUAGUGACUCAUUGACUCACUACUGUAAUGGUCCAGGUUACAUAGUGACUCACUACUGUAAUGGUCCAGGUUACAUAGUGACUCACUACCGUAAUGGUCCAGGUUACAUAGUGACUCACUACUGUAAUGGUCCAGGUUACAUAGUGACUCACUACCGUAAUGGUCCAGGUUACAUAGUGGCUCACUACUGUAAUGGUCCAGGUUACAUAGUGACUCACUACUGUAAUGGUCCAGGUUACAUAGUGACUCACUACUGCAAUGGUCCAGGUUACAUAGUGACUCACUACUGUAAUGGUCCAGGUUACAUAGUGACUGACUACUGUAAUGGUCCAGGUUACAUAGUGACUCACUACUGUAAUGGUCCAGGUUACAUAGUGACUCACUACUGUAAUGGUCCAGGUUACAUAGUGACUGACUAC